This 81-nucleotide transfer RNA is filed under the name Stenotrophomonas maltophilia. Its description in RNAcentral is "tRNA-Glu". Lineage: Bacteria; Pseudomonadati; Pseudomonadota; Gammaproteobacteria; Lysobacterales; Lysobacteraceae. RNAcentral also lists the same sequence under 4 other names. The record is from RNAcentral.
GCGACCGGGCAAAUGGUGCCGCCGAAGCCCAACUAUCUCUCAAACAGUAGGUUAUCCGUUCGAUUCGGGUAAGCCGCACCA